GUGUUUUUUUUCCCUUGAAAAUGUCCGCUUUUUCCCUUAUAAAUGUCGUUUUUUCCCUUAUAAAUGUGUUUUUUUUUCCAUUGAAAAUGUCCGCUUUUUCCCUUAUAAAUGUCGUUUUUUCCCUUAUAAAUGUGUUUUUUUUCCAUUGAAAAUGUCCGCUUUUUCCCUUAUAAAUGUCGUUUUUUCCCUUAUAAAUGUGUUUUUUUUCCCGUGUAACUGUGCGCUUUUUCCCGUGUAAAUGUCUGCUCUUUUCCGUUUGUGCGCAACUACUUCUUUCCCGUGUGAGAACUCUUUCUCCAGUAUUUUGCAAGCUAAAAGCUAAAGCUAAUGCGCAAAGGACUAUGGGAGUGGGGUCAAAACGCAACUGAACACGGAACCUUUCCGGAUAUCAGCUCCAGGACUCAACAUCAUGGAGUAUACAGUGAAUUAUAGCGUGAUAAAGUUAUAAUUUUCACUAAAUUUUCAACUGCACACAAUUACCAGUGAACUGUGUGUAAAUCAUCAACUGCCUGUGUAUCAGCUGAUUUCUACACCAGCUUUACAUCCUGAGCAGAAGAUUGUCGUGGAGAGGACGGACCCUUGAUGCUCUGCCUUUUUGCACCAACAAUACAUACAUGUAUUUUAUUAAUUUGUAAAUAAAGUCUUUAAUAUAA
Molecule: long non-coding RNA, 653 nt
Organism: Clarias gariepinus (North African catfish)
Lineage: Eukaryota; Metazoa; Chordata; Actinopteri; Siluriformes; Clariidae
Exons: 3
Source: RefSeq, a predicted model, not a curated record